This is a small nuclear RNA of Molossus molossus (Pallas's mastiff bat), 162 nucleotides long. RefSeq annotates it as U1 spliceosomal RNA. NCBI's taxonomy places the organism in Eukaryota, Metazoa, Chordata, Mammalia, Chiroptera, Molossidae. The transcript has a single exon. The record is from RefSeq and is a predicted model, not a curated record.
ACCCUUACCUGGCAGGGGAGACACCAUGAUCAGGAAGGUGGUUUUCCCAGUGAGGUUCACCCAUUGCACUCUGGGUGUGCUGACCCCUGCGGUUUCCCCAAAUGUGAGAAACUCGACUGCAUCAUUUGUGGUAGUGGGAGACUGAAUUCACAUUGUCCCCUU